UACGUAGGGUGCAAGCGUUGUCCGGAAUUAUUGGGCGUAAAGAGCUCGUAGGCGGUUCGUCGCGUCGAAUGUGAAAACCCGGGGCUCAACUCCGGGCCUGCAUCCGAUACGGGCAGACUAGAGUUCGGUAGGGGAGACUGGAAUUCCUGGUGUAGCGGUGAAAUGCGCAGAUAUCAGGAGGAACACCGGUGGCGAAGGCGGGUCUCUGGGCCGAUACUGACGCUGAGGAGCGAAAGCGUGGGGAGCGAACAGG
Molecule: ribosomal RNA, 253 nt
Filed under: uncultured bacterium
Lineage: Bacteria
Description: partial 16S ribosomal RNA
Rfam family: Bacterial small subunit ribosomal RNA
Source: RNAcentral